UUAAGUUCAGCGGGUAUUCCUACCUGAUCCGAGGUCAAACUUUCAGAAGUGGGGGGUUUAACGGCGUGGCCGCGCUGCGAUCCAGUGCGAGUGUUGCUACUACGCAGAGGAAGCUACAGCGAGACCGCCACUAUCUUUCAGGGCCUGCGGUCACCCGCAGAUGCCCCAACGCCAGGCCGGCUAGGGCCUGAGGGUUGAAA
Molecule: unclassified non-coding RNA, 200 nt
Filed under: Nectria sp. (in: ascomycete fungi)
Lineage: Eukaryota; Fungi; Ascomycota; Sordariomycetes; Hypocreales; Nectriaceae
Description: Nectria sp. (in: Fungi) partial internal transcribed spacer 2
Source: RNAcentral